CGCAUCUGUGCAUGCAGCAUAUCAAUAAGCGGAGGAAAAGAAACUAACAAGGAUUCCCCUAGUAACGGCGAGUGAAGCGGGAAGAGCUCAAAUUUGAAAUCUUAAAGGGUUUCCCUUUACGAAUUGUAGUUUAAAGAAGUGUUUUCUGUUGAGGUUUUGGUAAAAGUUCUUUGGAAUAGGACAUCAUAGAGGGUGAGAAUCCCGUAUUUGACCUUUACUUUCAACUUUGUGAUACACUUUCAAAGAGUCGGAUUGUUUGGGAAUGCAGUCCAAAAUGGGUGGUAAAUUUCAUCUAAAGCUAAAUAUUGGCGAGAGACCGAUAGCGAACAAGUACCGUGAGGGAAAGAUGAAAAGAACUUUGAAAAGAGGAGUUAAACAGUACGUGAAAUUGUCAAAAGGGAAGCGUUUGACACCAGUGUUGUUUUUCUGAAAAUCAAUUAAAGAACUGUUUAUGCUAAGUUGUUUAGACUUUAUCAGCUAACUGUUUAGUUUUGAGCUUUUCUUUGAUGCACUUUUCAGUUAACAAGUCAACAUCAAUUUCUUUUGCUGUAGAAAAGCUUGAGGAAGGUGGCUUGAGAUUCGUCUUAAGUGUUUAUAGCCUCUUGCCUAUGCAGUCGGAGAGAUUGAGGUCUGCAGCGUAGAUCCUUCGGGGCUAAAUGCAUUUGUGCUAAGUUAUAGCAUUUUAUAGACAACUUGUUGACUAUGAUUUGUCUUGUAGCUUACUCGCUUAUGUUAUUUUACCUACGCUUAGGAUGUUGACAGCAGUAUAGACUG
RNAcentral lists this ribosomal RNA (774 nucleotides) under uncultured Neocallimastigales. RNAcentral describes it as "partial large subunit ribosomal RNA". It matches the Rfam family "Eukaryotic large subunit ribosomal RNA", at positions 26 to 636 of the family's 3401-position model. Lineage: Eukaryota; Fungi; Neocallimastigomycota; Neocallimastigomycetes; Neocallimastigales. The record is from RNAcentral.